RNAcentral lists this small nuclear RNA (130 nucleotides) under Otolemur garnettii (small-eared galago). RNAcentral's name for it is "U4 spliceosomal RNA". It matches the Rfam family "U4 spliceosomal RNA". From Rfam's summary of the family: U4 small nuclear RNA (U4 snRNA) is a component of the major U2-dependent spliceosome. The structure of U4 snRNA from yeast and human has been reported. The record is from Rfam by way of RNAcentral. Lineage: Eukaryota; Metazoa; Chordata; Mammalia; Primates; Galagidae.
ACCUUUGUGCUGUGGCAUCAUCAUAGCCAAGAAGGUUUAUCCCAUGCAUAAUUACUGCUAAUGGAAAACUUUUCCCAGUACUCUAUCAAGACAACUUGAAAUAUAGUCAGCUUUGGCAAGUUUUUUAACU